UUAAAAUAGAAUCUUUUUUAUCAUAUAUGUGUCUAAUAAGGAGACACGUUUCUACCUGAUACCGUAAACAUCAGACUAUGAUAGAGAGUGUUUUUUAG
Molecule: non-coding RNA, 98 nt
Filed under: Erysipelothrix rhusiopathiae
Lineage: Bacteria; Bacillati; Bacillota; Erysipelotrichia; Erysipelotrichales; Erysipelotrichaceae
Also listed under: 2 other names
Description: Guanine sequence
Rfam family: Purine riboswitch aptamer
About the family: Riboswitches are metabolite binding domains within certain messenger RNAs that serve as precision sensors for their corresponding targets. Allosteric rearrangement of mRNA structure is mediated by ligand binding, and this results in modulation of gene expression.
Source: RNAcentral